This 70-nucleotide transfer RNA is filed under the name Paegniodes cupulatus. RNAcentral's name for it is "tRNA-Ser". The record is from RNAcentral. Lineage: Eukaryota; Metazoa; Arthropoda; Insecta; Ephemeroptera; Heptageniidae.
UAGAAAUGUGGUGUUCAUGGAAGAGCUGCUAACUCUUCCCCUAGUGGUUAAAUUCCAUUAACAUUUCUAA